Molecule: non-coding RNA, 4477 nt
Organism: Cricetulus griseus (Chinese hamster)
Lineage: Eukaryota; Metazoa; Chordata; Mammalia; Rodentia; Cricetidae
Source: RefSeq, a predicted model, not a curated record
UCCUUUGCAUGUUUUCUCUCUGUACAGCUUAAAAUGACGAAUGUGUAAUCUCAGUGGAAUAAAUGGCGUCCAGAGUUACAGAUGCUAUAGUCUGGUAUCAAAAGAAGAUUGGAGCCUAUGAUCAACAAAUAUGGGAAAAAUCUGUUGAACAAAGAGAAAUCAAGGGGUUAAGGAAUAAACCAAAGAAAACAGCACACGUGAAACCAGACCUCAUAGAUGUUGAUCUUGUGAGAGGGUCUGCAUUUGCUAAGGCAAAGCCUGAAAGUCCUUGGACUUCUCUGACUAGAAAAGGAAUUGUUCGUGUUGUGUUUUUUCCCUUUUUCUUUCGGUGGUGGUUACAAGUAACAUCGAAGGUCAUCUUUUCCUGGCUUCUUGUCCUCUAUCUCCUUCAAGUUGCUGCAAUAGUAUUAUUCUGUUCCGCUCCUAGCCCACAUAGCAUACCUCUAACUGAAGUGAUUGGGCCAAUAUGGCUGAUGCUGCUCUUGGGGACUGUGCAUUGCCAGAUUGUUUCAACAAGAACACCCAAACCUCCUCUAAGCACAGGUGGUAAAAGAAGAAGGAAAUUAAGAAAAGCAGCUCAUUUGGAAGUUCAUAGGGAAGGAGAUGGGUCCAGUACCACAGACAACACCCAGGAGGGAGCGGUCCAGAGCCACGGUGCAGGCACCUCCUACAGUGUUGGCACAGUCUUCAGAGAUCUCUGGAAUGCUGCUUUCUUUUUAUCAGGGUCAAAGAAAGCAAAGAAUUCAAUUGAUAAGUCAACUGAGACCGACAAUGGCUAUGUGUCCCUCGAUGGGAAAAAGACUGUAAAAAGCGGUGAAGAUGGACCCCAAGACCUUGAGCCUCAGUGUGAAACCAUUCGACCAGAAGACAUAGCCUGGGCCACUCCAAUGCCAAGGAAUGUCCCUGCCAAAGAUGCCCAAAGAAAGAUAACAAAUGUCUCUGAUGAAGUGUCCAGUGAGGACGACCCUGAGACGGGAUACUCAUUGCGCUGUCAUGGGGACAGAACUUCUGAAAGCAGUCUUCGAAAUAGAAAGCCACACCAUUAUAAAAAGCAUUAUGCAAAUGAGGAUGCCCCUAAAUCGGGUACUAGUUGCAGCUCUCGAUGUUCAAGUUCCAGACAGGAUUCUGAGAGCACAAGGCCAGAAUCCGAGACGGAAGAUGUCUUAUGGGAAGACUUGUUACAUUGUGCAGAAUGCCAUUCAUCCUGUACCAGUGAGACAGACGUGGGAAAUCCUCAGGUUAACCCAUGUGUGAAAAAAGAAUAUAGAGACGACCCCUUUCACCAGAGUCAUUUGCCCUGGCUUCAUAGUUCCCACCCAGGAUUAGAAAAAAUCAGUGCUAUAGUAUGGGAAGGCAAUGAUUGUAAGAAAGCAGACAUGUCUGUGCUUGAAAUCAGUGGAAUGAUCAUGAACAGAGUGAACAACCAUGUACCAGGUAUAGGAUAUCAGAUAUUUGGGAAUGCCGUCUCCCUGAUCCUGGGCUUAACCCCAUUUGUUUUCCGACUGUCCCAAGCAACAGACUUGGAGCAACUCACAGCCCAUUCUGCAUCAGAACUUUAUGUGAUUGCAUUUGGUUCUAACGAAGAUGUCAUGGUUCUUUCUAUGGUCCUGAUAAGUUUUGUGGUUCGAGUAUCUCUUGUAUGGAUCUUCUUCUUUUUGCUGUGUGUAGCAGAAAGAACAUAUAAACAACGAUUACUCUUUGCAAAACUCUUUGGGCAUUUGACAUCUGCAAGGAGAGCUCGGAAGUCUGAGGUUCCUCAUUUCCGGUUGAAGAAAGUACAGAAUAUAAAAAUGUGGCUAUCUCUCCGCUCCUAUCUUAAGCGUCGAGGUCCUCAGAGAUCAGUUGAUGUCAUUGUUUCAUCAGCUUUCUUACUGACAAUCUCAGUUGUAUUUAUCUGUUGUGCUCAGCUGCUCCAUGUGCACGAGAUCUUCCUUGACUGUCACUACAACUGGGAGCUGGUGAUCUGGUGCAUCUCCUUGACACUGUUCCUCCUGAGGUUUGUGCUUCUUGGAUCAGAAACAAGUAAAAAAUACAGCAAUACCUCAAUACUACUUACAGAGCAGAUAAACCUCUACUUGAAAAUGGAGAAGAAACCUAACAAAAAGGAGGAGCUGACACUUGUGAAUAAUGUUUUAAAACUGGCUACUAAACUAUUGAAGGAGUUGGACAGUCCCUUUCGAUUGUACGGACUCACAAUGAACCCGCUGCUGUACAAUAUUACCCAGGUUGUCAUCCUGUCAGCUGUCUCUGGUGUCAUCAGUGACUUGCUAGGAUUUAAUUUAAAGCUGUGGAAGAUUAAAUCAUGACAGGUAGAGAUGAAGACGUGGCUCGUUUCCCAGAGCGUGAGUGCUGAAGAAGCUGUCUGGACGCAAUCACUGGCUCUGCUCCGGAGUCUACUGGGAACGAAGUGUUUACAUCAGGCUUCUGUUUGAAGCAUUGAAGUUCUUAGUUUUUGAAAGGGUGACAAAGCUGGCCCCAAUACUUGAGGUCCUGGCAAUUGUUCAUAUGUAAUUGACAAACAAAUUGUGAAACAGAAGCCAUCCUAAGCACUGCUUCUCCAUCAAUGCCGUGAACUUGCCUUACUUGAUGAAGACUUCAGCUCUGAAACAGUGCGUUGCACUCAGCUAACCACAUAGAUCGUGUUCUUUGGUAAACCAGGAUCCACUCAGGAUCGCUCUUGAAAUAUUUCAGAACAAUGCUGGGAUCUAAACUGAUUAAGCUACAGUUGAAGCACCCUUCAGUAUUAAUAUGUGGUAUUAUGUAACAGGUCAACAAGUGCUCUUUGAUAAUAAAACUCUUAAUGGAGCAAUAAUUGUAAAUGGUUACCAUACUGUAAAAUAUUUUGAUAAAAAUUAGUAGUAAAUGUAUUUAUUUGAAACACUGAGCUGUUUGCACAGCUCCAACUGUGCAUGCUCAAAAUGUGCACUUUUAAAAAUUGUUACUUUUGGUGUGUGUCUUUAUGUGGGAUAUGUUACAGUGUACUAGGGCAUAAUACGGUAUCCUUUUGAGUGAGGUCUGUCCUCAUCUCACAAGUGAAGUGCCUCCUGCUGUCACUAAAGUACGUCACGUUUACUCAGAAGAAUUUCCCUUGGUACACUAUAGCGUAUGCUGUUCCUUCCACACUUAAGUGAAGCUUAAGAAUAAAGUUAAGAACCAACAAAAUAUUUACCUGAUUGUUAGUUAUCAAAUUUCCAAAUUUCCUGAAAGAUGGCUUCAUUCUACCACUCCUAGCCUCUGAAUUUAAUCUGGUGCACCCCUCCUCCAGCUCCGUUAUAUAAGGGCUAUUUUUAGAUGCUUUUAACAUGGAAAGCUAGCUUCUCUCCCUUCAAUAACUUGUCAAGUGUCCAGAGGGAGCUUAUCAUGUUUCUUGUUAGGGAAUUAGGGCAGAUAUGAUAGUCCCUGCAUCUGGCCUUGAUUCUAAGUUGUUACAUUUGUACAAUCAGUAGUGUUUUAAGAAUUACAUGAAACAAAAUGUUUUUGUGAUUGUUUUGUUUAAGCCAAGCAUUUGAAACAAUCUAGAAUUUUCUUGGUGCAAAGUCAUAUCGAAUAUAUUCAUAUUUUUUAGCCUAUUUUAAGGGAUUUAAAUAAUUAAUUGUAAAUAAUUUGUUUGAUUGGUGCAGUUUUAGUUCCCAAAUCACUCAAUAUCAGGAAUGUGCAGAGAACAGAGCCAUGAGAUGUGUUGCUCUGCCCAUUCCACAGCAGCCUCAGUACAGCCUCAUUGUAGAGUGCUCUUUGUGUAGGAAGCAGCAGACAGCAUUGGUUCCGUUUGCCUGUGUUCUGACGUCCAAUAAUGACCAAAGUGCAUUCUGAGUACUUUCAAGGAAUGUAUUACUGGAGCUUUAAGAACAUACUUAGUUUCUCAUGUGACAAGUUAGGCUUUGUCUGAUAUGUUUCUUCCUCUAUUGUCUAAUGUUGAGGUUGUUUUUAGGCACUAUAUUUUAUAAACUUUUUCAAAAUAAGGUACAUACCUAUACAGAACUUAACAUUUUGCACAGAUUAUAUCAGAUAUAUUUUGAGAAAAAAAGUACAGCAUGAAUUCUGUUAGAAAUAAAAAGACGAAAUUAUUGUAUCUUACAAAAACUUAUUUCAGAAUGGAAAUAUUUUUGAGAAAAGUAGCAGAGUGUACUGAUUUAGGAAAAUGCUUGCUUUAGGUUGUUUAACGUGGAGUUGGGAGUUGAUGUACAGUAUAUCUGUCAGCAACAUGAUACAUUGAUGUGCCAUUAAUGUGGGCAGCAGUAGAAUACUAAGUGUUGUAAGCAGUUAAUAAUGUUAACAGAAUCAUUUCAAAGUAGUAAGAUGACAUCGCUGCCUUUAAGAAUUCCAUGAAUGUAAAGAGUUGAGAUUGUAACAUAUCACAGCAUAGAGAAAAAGCAGUUCGAGGUAGAAUUAUGGCAGAUGUUGUGUGCUGGUUCUUUGCCACGUGUUGUUUUUGAAAAUUUGAAUGGCAAGUUUAAAAUAAAACAUUCUAUAACUGACA